RNAcentral lists this ribosomal RNA (690 nucleotides) under Triticum aestivum (bread wheat). Its description in RNAcentral is "partial small subunit ribosomal RNA". Lineage: Eukaryota; Viridiplantae; Streptophyta; Magnoliopsida; Poales; Poaceae. The record is from RNAcentral.
GAAAAAAAGAAAGCAUUGCCUUCUUUACUAUAUCUUGUAUUUAUCGUACUUUUGCCUUGGGGGGUCUCUUCCUCAUUUAACAAAUGUCUGGAACUUUGGAUUAAGAAUUGGUGGAAUACCAGGCAAUCCGAAACUCUCUUAACUGAUAUUCAAGAGAAAAGGAUUCUAGAAAGAUUCAUAUAAUUAGAAGAACUUUCUCUCUUGGACGAGAUGAUAAAAGGGAAACUAAAGACACAUGUACAAAAACCUCCUACAGGCAUACACAAGGAAAUAAUACAAUGGGUCAAAAUAAAUAAUGAGGAUCAUCUCCAUACCAUUUUGCAUUUCGCGACAAAUAUAAUCUGUGUGGCUAUUCUAAGUGGUUCUUUUUUUCUGGGUAAAGAGGAUCUUGUCAUUUUGAAUUCUUGGGUUCAGGAAUUCUUCUAUAAUUUAAAUGACUCAAUAAAAGCUUUUUUUAUUCUUUUAGUUACUGAUUUUUUUGUUGGAUUUCACUCCACCCGUGGUUGGGAACUAGUAAUUCGUUGGGUCUACAACGAUUUUGGAUGGGCUCCUAACGAGCUUAUUUUCACUAUUUUUGUUUGUACUUUUCCAGUAAUUCUAGAUACAUGUUUGAAAUUUUGGGUCUUUUUUUGUUUAAAUCGUCUAUCUCCUUCGCUUGUAGUCAUUUAUCAUUCAAUUAGUGAAGCAUAA